Molecule: ribosomal RNA, 921 nt
Filed under: uncultured Verrucomicrobiota bacterium
Lineage: Bacteria; Pseudomonadati; Verrucomicrobiota
Description: bacterial SSU rRNA
Rfam family: Bacterial small subunit ribosomal RNA
Source: RNAcentral
AGAGUUUGAUCCUGGCUCAGAACGAACGCUGGCGGCGUGGAUAAGACAUGCAAGUCGGGCGGGAAUCAGUGGGUAGCAAUAUUCGCUGGUUCUAGCGGCGCAAGGGUGCGUAACACGUGGGUAAUCUGCCUCGAAUACUGGGAUAACUCCGAGGAAUCGGAGCUAAUACCGGAUGUGGCGUCUGGAUGGCAUCGUCUGGACUUUAAAGCCGGGGACCGCAAGGCCUGGCGAUUCGAGAUGAACCCGCGGCCUAUCAGCUAGUUGGCGGGGUAACGGCCCACCAAGGCGAAGACGGGUAGCUGGUCUGAGAGGACGACCAGCCACACUGGAACUGAGGCACGGUCCAGACACCUACGGGUGGCAGCAGUCGAGAAUUUUUCACAAUGGGCGAAAGCCUGAUGGAGCGACGCCGCGUGGGGGAUGAAUGGCUUCGGCCCGUAAACCCCUGUCAUGAGCGAUCAACCCUUUUCCGCGAAUAGCGGAAGAGGUUGAUGGUAGUUCAAGAGGAAGGGACGGCUAACUCUGUGCCAGCAGCCGCGGUAAUACAGAGGUCCCAAGCGUUGUUCGGAUUUACUGGGCGUAAAGGGUGCGUAGGCGGUCGGGUAAGCCUGACGUGAAAUCCCGUGGCUCAACCAUGGAACGGCGUCGGAAACUAUCCGGCUUGAGGGUGCGAGGGGGGACUGGAAUUCUCGGUGUAGCAGUGAAAUGCGUAGAUAUCGAGAGGAACACCAGUGGCGAAGGCGAGUCCCUGGAGCACUCCUGACGCUGAGGCACGAAAGCUAGGGGAGCAAACAGGAUUAGAUACCCUGGUAGUCCUAGCCCUAAACGGUGCACGUUUGCUGUGAGAGGAAUCGACCCCUCUCGUGGCGGAGCUAACGCGUUAAACGUGCCGCCUGGGAAGUACGGCCGCAGGGUUAAAAC